RNAcentral lists this ribosomal RNA (253 nucleotides) under uncultured bacterium. RNAcentral's name for it is "partial 16S ribosomal RNA". It matches the Rfam family "Bacterial small subunit ribosomal RNA", at positions 524 to 776 of the family's 1533-position model. The record is from RNAcentral.
UACGUAGGGUGCUAGCGUUGUUCGGAAUCAUUGGGCGUAAAGCGCGUGCAGGCUGUUAGUUAAGUCGGAUGUGAAAUCCCUGGGCUCAACCGAGGAAGUGCAUUCGAAACUAUCUAGCUAGAAGAUGGUAGAGGAAGGUGGAAUUCCAAGUGUAGAGGUGAAAUUCGUAGAUAUUUGGAGGAAUACCGGUGGCGAAGGCGGCCUUCUGGGCCAUUCUUGACGCUGAGACGCGAAAGCGUGGGUAGCAAACAGG